UUUGAUUCUGGCUCAGAACGAACGCUGGCGGCGUGGAUAAGACAUGCAAGUCGAACGAGAUUUUUUCCUGUAGCAAUACAGGGAAAAGUCUAGUGGCGAACGGGUGCGUAACACGUGGGCAAUCUGCCUUAAAGUGGGGGAUAGCUCGGCGAAAGCCGAAUUAAUACCGCAUGUGAUCAGGGGAGACAUCUUCCCGAAAUCAAAAGUGGCGCAAGCUACUGCUUUUUGAGGAGCCCGCGGCCUAUCAGCUAGUUGGUGAGGUAAUGGCUCACCAAGGCUCUGACGGGUAGCUGGUCUGAGAGGACGACCAGUCACACUGGAACUGAGACACGGUCCAGACACCUACGGGUGGCAGCAGUCGAGAAUUUUUCUCAAUGGGGGAAACCCUGAAGGAGCGACGCCGCGUGGAGGAUGAAGGUCUUCGGGUUGUAAACUCCUGUCAUUUGGGAACAAGUGCCGGUACCUAACUGCUACCGGCUUGAUAGUACCAGAAGAGGAAGGGACGGCUAACUCUGUGCCAGCAGCCGCGGUAAUACAGAGGUCUCAAGCGUUGUUCGGAUUCAUUGGGCGUAAAGGGUGUGUAGGUGGCGCGCUAAGUCGGGUGUGAAAUUUCGGAGCUUAACUCCGAAACUGCAUUCGAUACUGGCGUGCUUGAGGACUGGAGAGGAGACUGGAAUUCAUGGUGUAGCAGUGAAAUGCGUAGAGAUCAUGAGGAAGACCAGUGGCGAAGGCGGGUCUCUGGACAGUUCCUGACACUGAGACACGAAAGGCCAGGGGAGCAAACGGGAUUAGAUACCCCGGUAGUCCUGGCAGUAAACGGUGCACGUUUGGUGUGGGAGGAUUCGACCCCUUCUGCGCCGGAGCWACGCGUUAACGUGCCGCCUGGGGAGUACGGUCGCAAGAUUAAACUCMAAGAAAUUGGACGGGGG
RNAcentral lists this ribosomal RNA (929 nucleotides) under uncultured bacterium. Its description in RNAcentral is "bacterial SSU rRNA". It matches the Rfam family "Bacterial small subunit ribosomal RNA", at positions 12 to 919 of the family's 1533-position model. The record is from RNAcentral.